RNAcentral lists this ribosomal RNA (233 nucleotides) under uncultured bacterium. RNAcentral describes it as "partial 16S ribosomal RNA". It matches the Rfam family "Bacterial small subunit ribosomal RNA", at positions 100 to 334 of the family's 1533-position model. The record is from RNAcentral.
CGGAACGGGUGAGUAAUACAUCGGAACGUGCCCAUUAGUGGGGGAUAACCCGGCGAAAGCCGGACUAAUACCGCAUACGACCUACGGGUGAAAGCAGGGGAUCGCAAGACCUUGCGCUAUUGGAGCGGCCGAUGGCAGAUUAGCUAGUUGGUGGGGUAAAAGCCUACCAAGGCUACGAUCUGUAGCUGGUCUGAGAGGACGACCAGCCACACUGGGACUGAGACACGGCCCAG